Non-coding RNA from Salvia hispanica, 860 nucleotides. NCBI's taxonomy places the organism in Eukaryota, Viridiplantae, Streptophyta, Magnoliopsida, Lamiales, Lamiaceae. The record is from RefSeq and is a predicted model, not a curated record.
CCUGCAAGUCAAGCACCAAAAGGGGUUAGUGAUUUCCCCAACCAAAAAGAUAAAGUCUUGGACCUUCACCAAAAUAGUAAAGAUGCCAAGUAUGCUAUGUCCCCAUCAAACAAUCAGCCAAGUCUAAGAAAAAAAAACAAGAAUCAAGAUAUCCUCAUAUCUCUCCACUAGAAUUUGAGAUAAUAGAAUCUUCCAUGAGAAGUCAUCGCCUAAGCCCACAAUAGAGUAGACAGAUUCUCUUCUCCCAUCGAUCAAGGCUGAGGAAACAGCCAAGAGAGACAACCAUACAUACACCAAAAGAGGUAUGAAAGACAUAAACAUUAAACUCAAAAGAGGGAGAGCUGGCAGCCCCAAAAUAGGAGCCUUUGCCUCCAAGUCUCAAGCACAAAAAGCCAAGAAUAGAGCACUAUAUAAGCAGCCUCAUCUCCCUUCUCCUCCCCACAAAAAUCGACACCCCAAACUCACAUAAAGUCAAGGAAUAUAGCAAGGAAGGGAGGAGGAGCAAGCAGGAGAUUUUGAGGCUGGACAUCAGUCCCAUCCGAGAGGAUUCAUCAAAGUGAGGAUAAACUGCUCAAGGGCAAGUGAGGCCAACGCAAAUAAUUGAAUUAAGGAAUAAGCAUACCAGGUUGAACGUCAAGAGGAUGGAGUGAUGAUCGGAGUCGAUGUUAUCAAGUUGAUCUCCCAACGAUUCGUGUCUUCAUACACGAAGUCGUUUAGCAAGGACUUAUUCCGCUGUGCUCUUAGAAUUAUAGAACCUCACCAUCAACUCUGAUUUAUUUGAGGAGAUGUCUAUUCUGUUUUCAAGACCGUGUAAUGAAAUACUUGGCUUCUAUGUAAUCAAUUGACUUAGCCUUGUGAAA